AAGCUGACGAGAGGAAACUGCCGGGGAGGGUGAAAUGGGUGGUGCUGACCUGGUAGAAACUCCACGGGCCUCAAAGCGGAACCUUUCCUGAAUUAACCAGCCUGUCUGGCCUGUUUUUGGCAGCUCAAGCAGGAAGCCAGGACCAGGGAGCCCUGUCCACGGGAGAAGCAGCGGCUGAUGCGGAUGCAUGCCAUCUGCCCCAGAGACGACAGCGACUGCAGCCUCGUCAGCUCCACAGAGUCUCAGCUCUUGUCGGACCUGAGCGCCACGUCCAGCCGCGAGCUGGUGGACAGCUUCCGCUCCAGCAGCCCCGCGCCCCCCAGCCAGCAGUCCCUGUACAAGCGGGUGGCCGAGGACUUCGGGGAAGAACCCUGGUCUUUCAGCAGCUGCCUGGAGAUCCCGGAGGGAGACCCGGGAGCCCCGCCGGGAGCUAAGGCAGGCGACCCACACCUGGAUUAUGAGCUCCUAGACACGGCAGGUGAGCGCGCCCAACCCCAAACCUCCACAGCAGUCCACCUCCCCUGGGCAGAGCAGGGAGCUGAUGAGAAAGCCAGGGCCUCUCUCCAGGGAAAGGGCAGAUAGAAGCAGAGCUCAACUUCUGCCCUGGGCCUUGACCUUGGCCUCGACCUUGCACUUUGGGAAAGUCCCGCCUGCCAGCCAGCAUAAACCAAAGGCCGGCUGCGCUCUGUCUGCUGGCGUCCUUGUGUUUUUCCCUAGAGCCAGGGGAGUUGUGUCUGAUCCACGCCCUGCUCAGCACCCAGCCCCCGCUCUGAUCUGUAACACUUGGGCUUCCCAGUGGUUUCAGAAGGCAGCAGGCAGGGUCGCUUAGUGGUGCCAGGCUGAGGCGAGGCACAGCGUGACAUCUACCUGCGGGGAGCAUCUCUCAGGCGCUGGCCCUGAGGCCUCGCGCUUCUCCUGUGGCUCAUUUCUGUUUGUGAUUGGACCGGCCGUCUCUCCUUCCCAAGUCCAUGGGCCCGUCAUGGGUGGGUGCCUUAAUCCUUUCCACCUCGGCGCGACCGGCUCCCAGCCUUGGGCCUUGCACACAGUAGGUGCUUUGCUCCCCAUUUGGAAUUCACCCCGUGGCCACCAGGGGGCGCAAGUGCCCUGCGCUGCCCCUGUGCCUUCUGUGGGUCGCAGAAUCAGAAACCUUCAUCUUUGGGGACUCAUACACGUUUUUAUUUAUAAUAGUGAUAAAUCAAGAGAGACCACCCAAGGCAUAUCUAAAUUAGAUGUGAGAUGAGAAGGGGGGCUUAUUCCUCUUUAUUUUUCCUCUGUGAGGAUUCUGCGUAAUGCCCUGGUUGCAUAUACUUUUAGUGGAAUUGACCUCAAAUACAUCCAGAGUACACACCUCAUUUCAUUGGCUUUGAAUGUGAUCCCAAUGGGUUUUUGCCUGUGAGCCAGGCCUAGGGAACUCUCAGGUCUCUGCUGGCCCUGGCUCUGCUGUGUGGUUCACAGAGUGAGACUUGCAGCCGUGGACCCUGGCAGGCUGCUCCCUGGUUCGGGGGCUCACAGGCUGUACAGUAAAAUGCUAGAGCUUGGGAGACCCUGGGGAGCCUCUAGUCCUAGGAUUGACAACUCAGAGACCUGCCACCACCAGCUGGGAAGCAGAGGAGUCUGGGGUAAGGAGCAGGCAGCCGCUGGCCAGUGCCAGUGAUUGCGGCCACACAGAAAUGCAAGCCAGUGUGGAAAUGCAGGGCAGCGUGGAAAUGCCGUGUACUACAGUAGUGCAGGUCUGGGUAGAAAUGCAGGUCCAUGUUUGGGAGGUCAAGGUGGGCGGAUCAUGAGGUCAAGAGAUCAAGACCAUCCUGGCCAACAUGGUGAAACCUCAUCUCUACUAAAAAUACAAAAGUCAGCUGGGCAUGGUGGCACACACCUGUAGUCCCAGUUACUCAGGAGGCUGAGGCAGGAGAAUCACUUGAACCUGGGAGGCGGAGGUUGCAGUGAGCCAAGAUCGCACCACUGCACUCCAGCCUGGCGACAGAGCGAGACUCCGUCUCAACAACAAUAACAACAACAACAAAAGAAAUGCAGAUCCAUGUAGAAAGGCAGGCCAGGGCCGGGUGUGGUGGCUCACGCCUGUAAUCCCAGCACUUUGGGAGGCCAAAGUGGGUGGAUCAUGAGGUCAGGAGUUCGAGACCAGCCUGGUCAACAUGGUGAACUCCCGUAUCUACUAAAAAUACAAAAAUUAUCUGGGCGUGGUGGCGCAUGCCUCUAGUCCCAGCUACUCAGGAGGCUGAGGCAGAAGAAUUGCUUGAACGCGGGAGGCGGAGGUUGCAGUGAGCUGAGAUCACAGCACUGUACUCCAGCCUGGGCGACAGAGUGAGACUCUGUCUC
This 2334-nucleotide small RNA is filed under the name Pan troglodytes (chimpanzee). Its description in RNAcentral is "retained intron". Lineage: Eukaryota; Metazoa; Chordata; Mammalia; Primates; Hominidae. The record is from RNAcentral.